CUCCAAAGCUACACAGAGAAACCCUGUCUUGAAAAAAGACAAAAAACAAAAACCAAACAACUUGGCUGCCAGGGUUCCACUAGGAUGGGACCCCUGCUCUUUCCACACCUAAAGAGGCUAUCCAGUGAAGCCCUUGUCUGUACUGGGGACAACUGAACUGGUAGAGAGUUUUGUCAUCUCUCAGGCUCCAUCCCACCUGCAUUGAGAAGCCCAGGACCUUGGAAGGGAUUGGGGGAUGUACACUGCUAACCACUUAAAAGGGCAGAUGAAAACCUAAAGCUGAGCUUCAGGCCUGUGUCCCCACCCUGCCCCCUCACUCUUCCCUGUUCUUGGAACCCUCCCAGUACUGUGGCACCACGGAAGAUUACCAGAACUGUCAUGGUGAGCAGCUGCUCUUAAGGAUGCAUCACUGGAGGCUGGGGAGAUGACUUGGUUGAAAAAGUGCUGCUGCACAAGUGUGAGGACCUUGUGGACAGAUGUUCAGAUCCCCAGCACCCCAGUGCAGUGGUGCACAUCUGUAAUCCAGGUGCUGGGGAAAGGAAGAUGGAAGGAUCCCU
This 557-nucleotide long non-coding RNA is filed under the name Cricetulus griseus (Chinese hamster). RNAcentral describes it as "lncRNA (ENSCGRG00015031580.1)". The record is from RNAcentral. Lineage: Eukaryota; Metazoa; Chordata; Mammalia; Rodentia; Cricetidae.